RNAcentral lists this ribosomal RNA (365 nucleotides) under uncultured archaeon. RNAcentral describes it as "bacterial SSU rRNA". It matches the Rfam family "Archaeal small subunit ribosomal RNA", at positions 78 to 444 of the family's 1478-position model. The record is from RNAcentral.
AAGGCAUACGGCUCAGUAACACGUAGUCAACUUACCCUAUGGACGAGGAUAAUCUCGGGAAACUGAGCAUAAUACUCGAUAGAUCAUAAUGCCUGGAAUGGUUUAUGGUUGAAAUGAUUCGUCGCCAUAGGAUGGGACUGCGGCCUAUCAGCUUGUUGGUGAGGUAAUGGCCCACCAAGGCGAUUACAGGUACGGGCUCUGAGAGGAGAAGCCCGGAGAUGGGUACUGAGACAAGGACCCAGGCCCUAUGGGGCGCAGCAGGCGAGAAAACUUUGCAAUGUGCGAAAGCACGACAAGGUUAAUCCGAGUGAUUUCUGCUAAAGAAAUCUUUUGCAAGUCAUAAAACCACUAGUGAAUAAGGGGGG